This is a long non-coding RNA of Oncorhynchus tshawytscha (Chinook salmon), 433 nucleotides long. NCBI's taxonomy places the organism in Eukaryota, Metazoa, Chordata, Actinopteri, Salmoniformes, Salmonidae. The record is from Ensembl.
UUUUAUCAUUGUGCUGUGAUACAAAAGACAGCAUCGAUGUUUGGUGGUAGGUCAGGUAGGCUGUUUGGAGGUAGGUCAGGUAGGCUGUUUGGAGGUAGGUCAGGUAGGCUGUUUGGUGGUAGGUCAGGUAGGCUGUUUGGAGGUAGGUCAGGUAGGCUGUUUAGUGGUAAGGCAGGUAGGCUGUUUGGUGGUAUGUCAGGUAGGCUGUUUGGUGGUAGGUCAGGUGGGCUGUUCGGUGGUAGGUCAGGUAGGCUGUUCGGUGGUAGGUCAGGUGGGCUGUUCGGUGGUAGGUCAGGUGGGCUGUUCGGUGGUAGGUCAGGUGGGCUGUUCGGUGGUAGGUCAGGUGGGCUGUUCGGUGGUAGGUCAGGUAGGCUGUUCGGUGGUAGGUCAGGUAGGCUGUUUGGUGGUAGGUCAGGUAGGCUGUUCGGUGGUA